RNAcentral lists this ribosomal RNA (791 nucleotides) under uncultured Prochlorococcus sp. RNAcentral's name for it is "bacterial SSU rRNA". It matches the Rfam family "Bacterial small subunit ribosomal RNA", at positions 61 to 898 of the family's 1533-position model. The record is from RNAcentral. Lineage: Bacteria; Bacillati; Cyanobacteriota; Cyanophyceae; Synechococcales; Prochlorococcaceae.
GUCGAACGAACCUUCGGGUUAGUGGCGGACGGGUGAGUAACGCGUGGGAAUCUGCCCUCAGGAGGGGGAUAACGGUUGGAAACGACCGCUAAUACCCCAUAUGCCGAGAGGUGAAAUGAAUUUCGCCUGAGGAUGAGCCCGCGUCUGAUUAGCUUGUUGGUGAGGUAAUGGCUCACCAAGGCAUCGAUCAGUAGCUGGUCUGAGAGGAUGAUCAGCCACACUGGGACUGAGACACGGCCCAGACUCCUACGGGAGGCAGCAGUGGGGAAUUUUCCGCAAUGGGCGAAAGCCUGACGGAGCAACGCCGCGUGAGGGACGAAGGCCUCUGGGCUGUAAACCUCUUUUCUCAAGGAAGAAGAUAUGACGGUACUUGAGGAAUAAGCCACGGCUAAUUCCGUGCCAGCAGCCGCGGUAAUACGGGAGUGGCAAGCGUUAUCCGGAAUUAUUGGGCGUAAAGCGUCCGCAGGCGGCCUUUCAAGUCUGCUGUUAAAACGUGGAGCUUAACUCCAUCAUGGCAGUGGAAACUGAUUGGCUUGAGUAUGGUAGGGGCAGAGGGAAUUCCCGGUGUAGCGGUGAAAUGCGUAGAUAUCGGGAAGAACACCAGUGGCGAAGGCGCUCUGCUGGGCCAUUACUGACGCUCAUGGACGAAAGCCAGGGGAGCGAAAGGGAUUAGAUACCCCUGUAGUCCUGGCCGUAAACGAUGAACACUAGGUGUCGGGGGAAUCGACCCCCUCGGUGUCGUAGCUAACGCGUUAAGUGUUCCGCCUGGGGAGUACGCACGCAAGUGUGAA